This is a long non-coding RNA of Triticum urartu, 1423 nucleotides long. RefSeq lists it as uncharacterized. Lineage: Eukaryota; Viridiplantae; Streptophyta; Magnoliopsida; Poales; Poaceae. The record is from RefSeq and is a predicted model, not a curated record.
UACCCUCCUUUUCUCCUCCCGUGACUCACUCUCACUUUCCCCAAAUCAGCCACAAUGGCGUCUUCCAAGUCUGUCGUCCUGCUGGUCCCCUCCGAUUCCUCCUCCGCUCGCUGACACCGGUACUCCCCUGCUCUCGGCCGUGGAUAAAUCCGCGCGAGGACGCCGGCUAGUGCGCGCCUCCGGCCACGCCGGUUGCUGCUGGACUCCCCGACGCCGCUGCCCGCCUCCCCUCCCCUGGACGGCUAGGUCGCUAAGGCCUACUGUGCUUCGUCGGCCGUCAGCCAGCUCUAUCCGUCGAGCAGUGCUGCUUCAGCUCAACGCACAUGCCUGCCUCCCUAGAAUGCCGGCGGUGCAGGCUGCACUAUAACCAGCCCGUUUUACCACUAGAUCUGUGGGGCGCCGGCGGCAGCAGGCAGCUGUAGCCCCCGCUCCCUGACCAGCAUGACCAUGAGUAACGGCGGAUGCAGAGGACAAGCUCGAGGAUGGCGAUUCAGAGGAGCAGGGAGAUACAAGAAGAAAUAAUGCAAGAUGAGUCAUUUUGUUCAUUACGAUAAAUCUACGAAGUGGAAGAAAAUGAGCAUGCCACUAAUAUUUCGAUCUUUUGAGGGGUAAUCCUGUGGUCGUUGUACACAAAUGGGAGUCUAGGAGUGAACUAAUCUUUUGUUCAAAGUGUGACUGGACACUUCAAUUUUUGUCGCAUGUUCGCCUAAUGGGAUGUUCCCUGACCAGUUACUUUGCUGGGUUGCAGCCAAGAUCUCAAGCAUGAAGUUCAUUUACUAUAAAGCUGGGCUAGGUUUCCCCACUUAUUGCCGCAACUUCACAUUGGACAUCACAAGGAUGGGUGAAGCCACGAAUCCUGAUUGAAGACCGGAAGAUGAUGAUGAUAACAAGAGCUCGAUGGAGGUGUGCAGUCCUAUUGAAGAUGGCCAAGUUCAGAUCCAAAGGCGAUGUAUUCCAUCCAGUGCCUGUGGCCGGGGAUCGCAUCCAGCCUGUGCGAUCUGUGUGGAGAACGCACCCUGCGGCCAACAAAAUCCUGUUAUAUAGGCAAUGGAAAAAGGCGGAAGGUGAGUCGCAGAAAGAAAAAUUGGCGCCAAUGUGGUUGUUCAGGAAAGGGCGGAGGCGGAGAUGGACAGUUGCGAUCUGUAUUUGUUAAUCGCGUUUGUGGAAAAACGACUAAUACUCGUUUUCCCACAAACCUGGAAUUCUGGGCCUUUGUGAAACGAGUUUCCUAUAUGCAUGGGUUAGUUGGAGGAGCCAAACAAGAUUUUGUACGGUUAAGCCGUUUUUCUGGCUUAUGGAGAUUCCGAUCUGUAUGUUCCCCUUAUCCAAACAACGCCUUUAGGUUGACACUUGAAAUAUGUACUCGUUGAUACUUCAAAUAUGUAGUUUGACACUUGAAAACAAAAUUAUUUUUAUUUCUCUA